Long non-coding RNA from Piliocolobus tephrosceles (Ugandan red Colobus), 1423 nucleotides. The record is from Ensembl. Lineage: Eukaryota; Metazoa; Chordata; Mammalia; Primates; Cercopithecidae.
AAAAAAAAACAUUUAACAAAGCAACAAACGAAACAACAAACAGAACAAUAAAUCAAAUACGAUAAAGACGACGAACAUAUGAAUGAAGGUAACACAUGUUUAAUAAUGAACGUUAAUAAAUUCGAUAUUAUAAAUCAAAGGUUUGAAAAAUUAACUGAACAAAAUAAUAAAAAUAAAAAUAAAAGGUUAAGGGAUUAUAAUCGUUUGGUAAAUAAUACUUUUAAAAAAAUUUUUAAAUCCGAAACGUAUCAAAUACCGAGUAAAUUAUAUUUCACCGUACUUAAAAAUAAUACUAUAACUGGUAAUAGUAAUAAUAUUAUAACUGGUAAUAGUAAUAAUACUAAAACUGGUAAUAAUAAAAUUGCAAAAGAGUUAACAGAAAUGGAAAAUAAUAAAAAGGGGUCAAAAAAAGGAUUUUUAAAUAGAUGUAACAUUAAUUACUCACCAUUCAAUUUAAAUAAUGUAAUAAGAAAUACAAACCGCAGUAAUAUUAAGAGUAGGACUAUCGGCAAUACUAGUACUAAUAUUAUUAAUAAUAUAAAUAGAAAAUACAUCCAUGGUGAAAUGGGUACUAAUAUAAACAGAAACAUAAACAUAAACAGAAAUUUAAAUUAUAACAUAAACAGUAACGCAUUCAGCAAUGUACAAAACAACAUAAAUAACAAUAAUAACAAUAAUAACAAUAAUAACAAUAAUAACAAUAANNNNNNNNNNAAUAACAAUAAUAACAAUAAUAACAAUAAUAACAAUAAUAACANCAACAACAAUAACGGCAACAACAAUAACGGCAACAACAAUAACGGCAACAAUAACGGCAACAAUAACGGCAACAAUAACGGCAAUAAUAAUGGCAAUAAUAGUAGCAGUAACGGAAACAAUAGUAACGGAAGCAAUAGCAACGGAAACAAUAACAACGAUAACAACAACGACAAUAACAACGAUAACAACAACGACACUGACAAUAACAAUGACAAUAACAAUGACAAUAACAAUGACAGUAACAAAGAUAACGAAAACAACAACAACAAUAAUAAUAACAGAAACAAUAGCAACAACAAUAGCAGUAACAGUAAUAACAUGGAUGAUAAUACAAAUAAAAAUAUUUAUAUAAGUGAUUUGUUUCCUUCAUCUUCAGAUGUAUCAUCUUUUCCUUCAAGGAUAGAUUACCGCGCAUCUAAUAAUAAUAUAGAACGUAAAUGUAAAAAAAAAUAUAAAAUCUGUCAAAUAAAUAAUAUAGAUACAGCUAACAAUCAUCAUUUAAGUAAUGACAAUAAUUUUAGUAGUGAUAGUUAUAAUAUUAGUAGCGCUAGUCAACCAAGUAAUAAUACAUUUACAAGUAGUAUCUCAUGUGAUGACCUAUUCGAUAACACACAAAGAAGUAGUAACAAUAGUCAACAUAUUACUACUACACAAGUUGAACGAA